Molecule: transfer RNA, 74 nt
Filed under: Amoebophilaceae bacterium
Lineage: Bacteria; Pseudomonadati; Bacteroidota; Cytophagia; Cytophagales; Amoebophilaceae
Description: tRNA-Ala
Rfam family: tRNA
About the family: Transfer RNA (tRNA) molecules are approximately 80 nucleotides in length.
Source: RNAcentral
GGGGGAUUAGCUCAGUUGGCUAGAGCACCUGCUUUGCAAGCAGGGGGUCAUCGGUUCAAGUCCGAUAUUCUCCA